Molecule: long non-coding RNA, 277 nt
Organism: Leguminivora glycinivorella
Lineage: Eukaryota; Metazoa; Arthropoda; Insecta; Lepidoptera; Tortricidae
Exons: 2
Source: RefSeq, a predicted model, not a curated record
AUAAUAUCGUAACGCUAUACUGAGUUAGGUUUAUAGUGAAUAAAGAUUUCUUAUUAUUAAAACGCAUCUUUGAGUUUGUGGGGCGAUGAAUAUUAACUGAGAAGAAAUGAGUCUUGUCCUACUAUAGAGAUCCCCUGAAAUUUCAGGAACGGCAUGUUGUAUGUAAGGAGAACAGUGAAAAUCCAACUCCCAGUUUUUGGUUAAAUAAACAUAAAAUAUAAAAUGUAAAUACAUUAAAAAUCGUUUUCGUUUUUCAGUUCUCGUUCCUUAAAAGUGC